GUGCCUGUGCCUGCAGGGCCCUGGCAGCAUGUCCUGUCUGAUAGGAUACCAAAGGAAAGGCAUGUUCUUAUGCCAGAGUCAAUACCAGGCCUGAAAAGAAUCCUGACAUCAUCAUGGAUGAGAGUGAAAUGGGAAUUAGGUCCACAUUAAUUGUAUGAUGGGACUUGAAUAGUUCAGGACUCAGUUUCACCAGUCGGCAGCAAUAUUCUCUAGUAUCAUUGUCAGGGUAACUGUCUUCUCACACCAGAUGCCUCUCUCAACCACAAGGUGGUUAUCUUGACACCAUUUCUGUCCACUGACCACACUUGAAGAAAAUUUUGCUGUUACUAAUAUGCUCAAAGGAAAAAAUAUACAUUGAGUGGCAUGUCACAGGUGAAUCCCGAGUGCCCUCAUUAUAUUAGAUGCUCCAGCUGUUACACAGUGCAUCACACAGUUAUUGGCAAUAUCCUGCAUCUCUCCAAUUAAUAUAUGUUUAUUGUAAUAUUCACUGCUGUGAGAUCUGCAUUUGUAAGAUUAAGAGAUUGUAACUCAUUGAUUGGUAUUAUUAAAAUGCAUUUCAUCUGGUGUAUUCUCACUCAGCAGGUUUGACAUAUUUCUUUAAGGAUUUUAAAAUCCAGUUUUAAAAUCUGGAAUUAUUGGAGGUAGAUUUCCACUGUGUGGAAUGUGAAUAGUUAAACAGAAAGAUAUGGCUAUUUAAUGUUAUUGAUACAAAUCCUCUUUCACUGAUAACAGGCAGGGGUUGUUUUCACUUAAAUUACCUUUUUGAGUUGGUUUGCAGGGGAAAGGGUCAAUCCCAGUUGUUGAUGAAAGUUUCAUUGCUGAAAGUUUUGUACUAGCUAGGGUUUCUGUUCAAGAAAUGGGAGCACCUUAAGAAUGAAUUUUUCCCUUCAUGUGAAGUUGACAGCAAAACUCCCAUUGUAUUUUACAGUGACCACUAUGUCCCUAAACCCUUAGCCACUAAGCAAAGCUUUAGACAUUACUUACUCCUUUAUUUAAGAUUAGGCUAGCAUUCUGAAGGAAAAUCGAUAGAAGUUUUAGAAAUUUUAGUUUUUAUGUUCCAAAACAGCUCAUGCAUAGAUCACAAUGGAACUCCCCUUGAGGCAGAUUCCCUCCCCCCAAUAUAUAAAUUUUAUACAAAGAACUUCUAUGAAUUGCUAGUUAUUGCCCGAGAGUAAGAAAGUUCUGCUAACUUACAAUUAUACAAGAUAUUUAAUAUCAACCAUUUAAAUGUCUGCUUUAUUCUAAAAACAAUGGACUAUAUAACCUAAGGCUGCAGUAUUUUCAUGCUCGGUCUCACAAAGCAAAACUUGGUUUAAAAUGAAGUUUUAAUUAUUUUGUAACUGAAUAGAAUUGGAGUUUUUUCUUCCCAGCAUUUUGUACGUCAUUUUAACUACUAGUAACAAAUAAAUAAAAUAUCUUCUCCAGCCCA
Long non-coding RNA from Neopsephotus bourkii (Bourke's parrot), 1429 nucleotides. RefSeq lists it as uncharacterized. The record is from RefSeq and is a predicted model, not a curated record. Lineage: Eukaryota; Metazoa; Chordata; Aves; Psittaciformes; Psittacidae. The transcript is spliced from 2 exons.